This 253-nucleotide ribosomal RNA is filed under the name uncultured bacterium. RNAcentral describes it as "partial 16S ribosomal RNA". It matches the Rfam family "Bacterial small subunit ribosomal RNA", at positions 524 to 776 of the family's 1533-position model. The record is from RNAcentral.
UACAGAGGGUGCGAGCGUUAAUCGGAAUUACUGGGCGUAAAGCGUGCGUAGACGGUAGCGUAAGUCAGAUGUGAAAGCCCCGGGCUCAACCUGGGAAUUGCAUUUGAGACUGCUCUGCUCGGGUGCGGAAGAGGGAAGCGGAAUUUCCGGUGUAGCGGUGAAAUGCGUAGAUAUCGGAAGGAACACCAGCGGCGAAAGCGGCUUCCUGGUCCGACACCGACGUUCAGGCACGAAAGCGUGGGGAGCAAACAGG